This 506-nucleotide ribosomal RNA is filed under the name uncultured bacterium. Its description in RNAcentral is "partial 16S ribosomal RNA". It matches the Rfam family "Bacterial small subunit ribosomal RNA", at positions 29 to 523 of the family's 1533-position model. The record is from RNAcentral.
AGUGAACGCUGGCGGUAGGCCUAACACAUGCAAGUCGAACGGCAGCACAGAGGAGCUUGCUCCUUGGGUGGCGAGUGGCGGACGGGUGAGGAAUACAUCGGAAUCUACUCUGUCGUGGGGGAUAACGUAGGGAAACUUACGCUAAUACCGCAUACGACCUACGGGUGAAAGCAGGGGACCUUCGGGCCUUGCGCGAUUGAAUGAGCCGAUGUCGGAUUAGCUAGUUGGCGGGGUAAAGGCCCACCAAGGCGACGAUCCGUAGCUGGUCUGAGAGAAUGAUCACCCACACUGGACCUGAGACACGGUCCAGACUCCUACGGGAGGCAGCAGUGGGGAAUAUUGGACAAUGGGCGCAAGCCUGAUCCAGCCAUACCGCGUGGGUGAAGAAGGCCUUCGGGUUGUAAAGCCCUUUUGUUGGGAAAGAAAUCCAGCUGGUUAAUACCCGGUUGGGAUGACGGUACCCAAAGAAUAAGCACCGGCUAACUUCGUGCCAGCCGCCGCAGUAA